GUGGACCCUGGGAGCGCGGAGGAUGCUGGGAGUGGUGGUUCCCCGCGCCCACCAGCCUUUUCUUGUUCCUUCGCCCCGGUCUCAAGGCAGAUCCUGAGGCGCCAUGAGAAAGAUUGUUCCUAGCCACCAUGAAGUAAACAGCUCCCCAGCAUGGCAUUCCCUUUUGCCAUGGGCCUAAAAACACCAGAACCAAGCAACUGUGGAUUGAAACCUCUGAAAAGGAGGACAAAAACUGGACACAGGCCUUGAAUAGAGAAAGAAGAAACUUAACCAAUCACCAACUUUACUGACUUCUCACUCAAUCAACUUUGAGAAAAGAGGGAAAGGAAAAGAAUGGGGAUCGGAAAACUAUUUGACCCCCCUCGGUCUUCUGAACAUUGAUGGGUCUGCUUUUGCCACACCAGACUUGAGCAUCUCCUGUCCGAUCAGCACUGGAAGGGGGCUCUUCCAGGCUGGAAUGCUGCUCAUAUUCCAGCAGUCUUUAACAAUGGACUCUCGAACUUUCGUUCUUGUUACCUCUCACUCAGAGGAUUGUAAUAGACCUCCACUUACCACCUCUGCCUCUGGUUUAUUGUCCCCACUCGAAUACCUGGUAAGCAAUGAAGAGUGUAGCACAGGACCCCCUUUGGAAGUCAGAGGUGGACAAUCCGCAACUGAGCCCACAAGAGAACAAGGUCUAGGGAUACAGCCUUUUUAAAUGUUUUAUAAUAAUCUAUUUAUCUUUAUUUUAUGUGCAUUGGUGUUUGGCCUGCAUGUAUGUCUGUGUGACAGUGUCAGAUCUUGGAGUAGCAGACAGUUGUGAGCUGCCGUGUGGGUGCUGGGGAUUAAAUCUGGGUCCCCUGAAAAAGCAGUCAGUGCUCUUAACCACUGAGCCAUCUCUCCAGCCCUGUGAUACAGUCUUUUAAACAGGCAAGCUUAUCCAUGAAUGAAUUAGGGGAAAAGAACACUCCACUUCUUUAUUCAUUUAUUCAAUAAGUAAUUAUAAUUAAUAUUUAUUAGUGUAUAUAGUUACUAUAUUCUGGAGGUGAAAAUAUUCCCCCUAGUAAAUAAUGGGGGUGUUGAAAUAGGAAUUUCAGUGAGGGAUUCACAUAGAUGACAUUCCAGUAAUUAGAAAGGGCAAAGUGGUGUUUUCUAGAUGCAGGAAGGAGAGGAGAGAGGCGGGGGGAGAGGAAAGGAGAUACAUAGGCAAGACAUAUCCUGGCACAUUCUGUUUGCAAGUAUUUCACUCUGUCUGGAGAUCAGGAGUGACAGAGGUUGUAAUGAAGGACACAGAAGAUACAGCAAGAAGCAAAUCAGAACUAAGAAAAUGGGGCUUUGUAUUCUUCUAGGAUGAGAAAUUGAGGGUUUAAUCCUGUAUGUACUUGAGGUACCCUUUGUAGAGUUUUACUUAAGUAACAAUAGAUUUUUUUUUGUUUCAAAAAGCCCAACCUGGCAGUUUUCUAAAGCAGUGAAGGGAAUAAGUGACUACAGGCACAACUGUCUACAGUCUUAGUGAAAAGGCUGGGGGCCUGAAUUGGGAAGAAAAGAAAUGAAAGAAAGAAGAAAGAGUGGAUGUGAUGGGUAUGGAGGAAUUAGAAUUUAAAGGAACUGGUAACUCAGUAGAUGUAGGAAUUUGUGAGACAAUUUGGAAUGAUUUGCUUGUUUGGCUUUGGUGAAAGAUGGAUAGGUUCACUGAACUAAAGGGUGAGGGAGAAGAGAAAGUGUUUCAGGCAUGCAAAGCUUCAGGUGACUAUUGAACACUCGAAUAGUGAGAUCCAGAGGGCAGUUGGAAUAAGAGCUACAUUUCAGGGAAAACUGUGGAUGAUCGUCAUGUGCUCCUAGGUAAUGUCUGAAGCAAUGAUAAACCACCUUCCUCUUUGUAGCCCUGCCAGUAACAUUGCUGCUGAACUCAUCAUCUCUUUUGAACUGUGACAAUAGUCUCCAUAAUGAUCUUCAGGCUCUAUCCUUUCCAUUUGUUCUUCAUAUUUCCAUCAGGGUGAUAUUUCUAAAUAUAAUAUAUAUUAUCAUUCAAAGUGUGUACUCAACAAAGUAAAACCUAUACUUCUAGCUUUGGGUCUUAUGACAGGUAAAGAAUAGGACAGCUUCAUUGAAAACAUCUAUUUUUACAUCCUGUCUUACAAGGCUAUCGAACUUUAGGAUUAUUCCAAGGAAAUAUUGGGAAAGUAGGUCCUACUUUCUGAGCAUGGUGGUGCAUGCUUUCAAUCCUAGCUCUCUGGACCUUGGGGCAAGAGCAUCAAGAGUUUAAGGACAACUCGAGCUACCUAACUGAAAGGCAGACAUGAACAGAUGGUCUCUAAAUUUUUGAUAGGCUGUCUGGUACUUCUACCAUAAAGUCCCAGACACAUUAGCUAUGGCUUUGGCCUCAAACCCCAAUUAGAAAUCAAGGAAAAUACACUGGGGUUUUGAAGUAUCUGGAUGUGAUACAUUUAGGAUAGGCAGUUUUGAGAAUUCUACAUGCUGAUAGAAAGAUUCCCUUGACCCCUUAUUCCUAGAUCUAAUUCCCAACUCUGACCCACAUUCUUACCACUUGAGUGACUCUAACACACAGCUAAAAAUUACUCAAAGGAAUGGUGGCUUUCCCUCCUCCCUACAUCUCUAGGAUGUGAGACAGAGUCCAAGCUGGCAGCUGCUAGUCCAAAUGAAACUUGCUAACACCUUUUGUAAGUCAAUACAGCAAUUCCCUGUGCAAUAUUAGUUUUUAAAAUCUUUAUUCCUUCCUUGCUAUUAAAAUGUGAAUCUAAACCUGCCUUACUGGUGAGGUUGACAUUUUGGCAGUUGCUAAUCAAGUAGAGCUAGAACACUAUUCUUCCUUAGGGAGGGUAAUUGAUUUACAGUUCAUCACUCCUGGCCCAGUUCAAUCAUGUGGACUUGGAGGGUGCUUCUGAUCAUUAGCUCACAUGCCAAUCACCUGAAGAACCCAGCUAAAAUUGAGAUUCUGAUUCAGUUGGUCUGGGAUGAGAUUCUAAAAUGCCCCAAGAUUGGAUGUUGCUGGACAAGGAGCAGCCUUUCUGUAGCAAGGGACUGGGGGGUAGCACAGGGGUUCGAAUGCUUCCUCUGUCACUCUGUUUUGUUUUUUUUUUUUUUUGGUUUUUGUUUUUUUUUUUUUGUUUGUUUGUUUUUUUUAACCCCAGCUCUAACUGUAAGUGGAUGUGUUCUCUGGGGACAUUUCCGUUAUUAACUGUAUCUCAAUGCUGUGGUUUGAAUCUGAGAUGGCCCCCCUAGGAUCAUGUGGUUGAACACUUGGUCCCCAGCCAAUGCUGCUGUUUGGGAAGGUUAUGGAACCCUUAGGAGGUGGAGCUUGCUAUGGGAAGUUACUCCCUGGGGAUGGACUUUGAGGCUGUUCUUCCUCUGCGUCCUGUGAGCAGAUGAAAUGUGAUCAGCCAGCUUUCCACUCCUACCACCCAUGCUUCUUUUUCUUCCACUUUGUGGGCCUUUGCACACUCUUUGUGGCCUAGACACUUUCACACAAGUGGACGAUCCCUUUCUCCACCAAGUGAUGAUGUGAUAGUCCUCAAGAGACUAAUAGGCACAUAGUUUUUGUUUUCAAAUCAGGUAAGUGAGAACCAUUAUUAUUCAUUUUUAAAGUCCCAGCACGUCACCCCUGUGUUCAGGAUUGUGGGAUGAUUUUCUUCUGGAGAUGCAGGCUCCUCCUGGCUUCCAAUGCCCUACAUAUUAAAUCCCUUAUUUACCCUUCCCUUCCUUUCCCUGAUCAACUCCUAGAAAUCCUUUUUAGUUGAAGAACUUAGCUGAUAAAGUGAGUUUGUUGAACUGGAAUUCUUCCCAGACCUUCUCAUCACCACUGUGAGUUAGAUAGCUCUCUCACAUGCUCUUAGAGCAUCCUGUGUACAUCCUAGAAUAAUGAUUAAUAAGUCAUUUCUCUUCUUGAGAAACACCUGUGGCUGGUGAGCUUUCAAUAAAUUCUGACCGUGGAAUAAAUGAGUACAUGAGGAAAUAGAGAAACGCCACUUCCAACCUCUGCUGCUCUGAAUCUUUUGAUGAACGCCCCCCCCCUCAUUUUUUGGUUGUUAUUGUUGUUAACAGUAUCUUAGUGUGAAGCCUAGGCUACCUUCAAAAUUGUUAGCCUCCUGCCUCACCUCCAAAGUCCCAGGAUAAUAGGCAUGUGUCACCAUGCCUGACUGACGGUAAACGUCUUCUUUUAUAGGUCCUGGACAUUGCAUCAGCUAAGUUCCUUACCUAAGUUCUGAUCUCUAGAGCCCAUGUAAAAGCCUGACACAGUAGCACAGGUCUAUAAUCCCAGUGCUCUCCAACCAGGAGAUAGAAAAAGGAGAUGGGAAAAUGGCCAGAAGAUCACAGGUCAGCUAGUCUAGUAUACAAAGCCUUGAACAAGAGACCUUGCCUCAACCAAGGUAGAAAUCAAGAACUAUUAACCAAGAUUGACUUCUGACCUCCACAUAAGUCCCAUGACACAUAGCAUGUACACACAUACACACACACCUGUACUCACAGAAACAUGUACAUAUGUAUACAUACAUACAAGCAUACAAAUACAGAAAGGUAGAGGGGGGAAGCGGGGGGGGGGAAAGAGAAUACAGCGAACGGACGUGCAGAUAUCAAACAUCAGCUAAGAUGGUAACUCAGCACAGCAGUUUCAAACCUAGAAUGAGCUGACUCGCUCACACCCAAACACAGGCCUGGUACUUUCUAUGGAUCAUAAGCAUUUAGUGUCAUUACUCAUCCUCAUGGCCCAAGAAACCUUAUGAUUUCACUUCCAUUCACAUCUCUAGCCAAUUCCCACUGUCCUCAUGUUUCCAGUUGCAGAAGCCUGUUUCACUUCCAGAAAGACCCAGCUGCCCUCCCCAAGGUCUCCUCAAACAGUGAAUGACUAGCAUGUGAGGAGACCUUGGGGAGGGUAACUGAUGGGACAUCCUCAUCCCACCUAUCACCGCCCCCCCCCACACACACACACAAGCAUAGGAAGGGAUCAGCAGAUAUGAUCUGAAUCGCUAAAUGUUACUAAAGUAACUCUUCCUGUGUGGUCUCUGUUUCUUCUCAUGUUACUAUCCCAACUAUUUUCCAAGUCUGGAGAGUUCUGACUGCUAGAUCUAAUCUCCUGCUUCACCAAGUGCUCUGCUAGGAAAGCAGAAAGGCAUCUGAAGCUCCUCAGUGGGUCCAUUUAAAGACAAAUGCGGGUAAAAGGAUCCAGACCGCUCCUUUUUAGGAUCAGGUUUUCCCAUUUAUAACAUUGCACUCGUUGGGAAACUGCAUUGCUCCCAUUUAAGCUCACGUAGAGUCACUUGUAGCCAAUUUCUGGGGGUGGCAGAAGCAAUUAAAACCAAUUACACAAAGACCUAAUUUUGAUAAUCUUGUAUUGUCAACAAAUGACUCACAGUUUGGGCAUCUGCAGCUGGGUAGGAACAGUUCAUGGAGAUACUGUCACCUUGGACCAUGUGUUCUCAUUGGAGGCGAUGGAAAUUGGCUCUCAUGGGUGUGCAAAGGCAUGCAAAAUAAUUGUGCUUUUGUUAUGUUUGAAUCACAGAUGUCACGCACUAUAUUCACAAACAUAUAGUAUAUGAAUAAUGUUAGAGUUUCAUGAAAACCACAUCAUGUGAUUCUUUUUAUAUGAAAUAUCCAUACCAGGCAAAUCUACAGAGGUAGAGGGUGGCCUGGUGGUUGUCCUGCUGGGGAAGAGGGCUACGGGCUGUUGGGAAUUAUUUGCUAAUUGAUAUGCUGUUUACUUGGGGGAGCAGUAGAUUAAGUUCAUACAGCACUCCCUUGCCGCCAGUUUCUGGGGUAAAGUUGGGUAAAGUCUGCACUCUGUAAAUAUGAUAAAAAGCCAUUGAUUUGCACACUGUGGGUGGAGUGAAUGGUUUGUGAUUUCUCUGAAAUAGAUUGUUUAUGAAAAUGCUUCCCUUCUUUUUUUGUUUGGGUUUUUUUUUUUUUUUUGAGACAGGGUUUCUCUGUGUAGCCGACUGUCCUGGAACUCGCUCUAUAGACCAGACUGGCUGGAACUCAGAGAAUCACUUGCCUCUGCCUCCCAAAUAAAGACGUGAGCCACCACUAACCAGCUCUUCUUUUUUUUUUGUUUUUUAAAAAAAUGUUUUUUGAGAUUUUAUUUUAUGUGUAUGAGUGUUUACCUGAAUCUAUGUCUAUGUGCUAUGAGCACACAGUGCCUUCGGAGGGCAAAACAGAGAACUGGAUCCCCUGGGACUAGAGUUAUAGCUGGUGGUGAGCAACCAGGUAAGUGCUGGGAAUGGAACAAGGGUCCCCUGGAAGAACA
Long non-coding RNA from Peromyscus californicus insignis, 6238 nucleotides. RefSeq lists it as uncharacterized. The transcript has 3 exons. NCBI's taxonomy places the organism in Eukaryota, Metazoa, Chordata, Mammalia, Rodentia, Cricetidae. The record is from RefSeq and is a predicted model, not a curated record.